UCUGCCUGCGUCUACGGAUCCACACUCCAGCAAGACCAACUUUUUAAAUGGAAGAAAAUAAAAAAGGGAGAAAACAGGAAAAUGGGACUGCCAGAUGGAAUUGACAUUGUGAAAGUCAAAUUUUAAACAGAUGACAUUGCAAACUCCUCAUUCACCAUCCAGAUCCUACUGAAGGACAGAGUUGCCAGAGGUGCCAACACAUCAGUAUCCAUUCGGGAUGUGAAUGACUCAACACUGAAACUUUAUUAUCAAGGGACUGCAACAGAAAAAACUGCAAAAUCAGCUAUAUCAGAACGACAUCAAAACUGACAUUUUGCUCAGCAACCUAAAUUUCAAAAAUCUCUAAAUACAGUACAGGUUCAAAACAGAAUGGUCAAGUUAUGCUAUCUAAAAAACCCCUU
Stegostoma tigrinum is the source of this 401-nucleotide long non-coding RNA. RefSeq lists it as uncharacterized. Lineage: Eukaryota; Metazoa; Chordata; Chondrichthyes; Orectolobiformes; Stegostomatidae. The transcript is spliced from 3 exons. The record is from RefSeq and is a predicted model, not a curated record.